CCUACGGGAGGCUGCAGUGAGGAAUAUUGGUCAAUGGAGGCAACUCUGAACCAGCCAAGUAGCGUGCAGGAUGACGGCCCUAUGGGUUGUAAACUGCUUUUAUGCGGGGCUAAACUGACUCUCGUGUGGCUUAUUUCUGGUACUGCAUGCAUAAGGACCGGCUAAUUCCGUGCCAGCAGCCGCGGUAAUACGGAAGGUCCGGGCGUUAGCCGGAUUUAUUGGGUUUAAAGGGAGCGCAGGUCGCGGAUUAAGGUUGUUGGGAAAUGCUGCGGCUUAACCGGGGCACUGCAGCGGGAACUGGGGGGCUUGAGUGAAGCUGAGGUAGGCGGAAUUCGUGGUGUAGCGGUGAAAUGCUUAGAUAUCACGAAGAACUCC
RNAcentral lists this ribosomal RNA (375 nucleotides) under uncultured bacterium. Its description in RNAcentral is "partial 16S ribosomal RNA". It matches the Rfam family "Bacterial small subunit ribosomal RNA", at positions 338 to 710 of the family's 1533-position model. The record is from RNAcentral.